AACGAACGCUGGCGGCAUGCCUAACACAUGCAAGUCGAACGAGACCUUCGGGUCUAGUGGCGCACGGGUGCGUAACGCGUGGGAACCUGCCCUUAGGUUCGGAAUAACUCCCCGAAAGGGGUGCCAAUACCGGAUAAUGUCUACGGACCCAAGAUUUAUCGCCUUUGGAUGGGCCCGCGUUGGAUUAGCUAGUUGGUAGGGUAAAAGCCUACCAAGGCGACGAUCCAUAGCUGGUCUGUGAAGAUGAUCAGCCACACUGGGACUGAGACACGGCCCAGACUCCUACGGGAGGCAGCAGUGGGGAAUAUUGGACAAUGGGCGAAAGCCUGAUCCAGCAAUGCCGCGUGAGUGAUGAAGGCCUUAGGGUUGUAAAGCUCUUUUACCCGGGAUGAUAAUGACAGUACCGGGAGAAUAAGCGCCGGCUAACUCCGUG
RNAcentral lists this ribosomal RNA (433 nucleotides) under uncultured bacterium. RNAcentral describes it as "partial 16S ribosomal RNA". It matches the Rfam family "Bacterial small subunit ribosomal RNA", at positions 29 to 507 of the family's 1533-position model. The record is from RNAcentral.